Molecule: long non-coding RNA, 1068 nt
Filed under: Ananas comosus (pineapple)
Lineage: Eukaryota; Viridiplantae; Streptophyta; Magnoliopsida; Poales; Bromeliaceae
Description: long non-coding RNA (ACOM_LNC010811)
Source: RNAcentral
UUUUUUUUUUUGAGAGAUAGGUAGCACGCUACCCGCUUCGUCUGUUUCAUUUGAAAAUAAACUUAGCUAGAAAUCUGAAUCAACUAGGAUUCGAACUUGAGUCUUGGGUACCAACCACCAAGCCCUUUGCCACUUGCUCUAGGAACGGUCGGUCCAAAGAGUAUAAUUUUUAUCUCAAAGAGUACAACUUUCAUUUAAACUAGUGCAAAAAAUUUUUAAAACAGUGUAACUUUAUUUUAACAGCGCAAUUUCAUCUUUUUCUUCCUUCUUCUAUUAAUUUUGAUCUUUUCUGUAGGAAAUAUAUAUUUUUUUAUUUUUAUUAUUCUUUUUUUUUCUUCUAUAAUUUUUUUUUUGUUACGACCUCUCCCCCUACCUCGCCGGCACUUCCUCUUCAUUGCCGACGACGUCGAUGUGGGACGGUGGGUAGAAAAUCUGCUGCAAUGGAGGUGGAGGACGAAAGCGGAGAAAGAGUACGCGGUAUUAUCCUCGCUAUCGUCACGAAGGGCUGUAGAGGUGGUGGAGGAAGGUUAGAGAGAAAAAAAAAAAGAGAAGGUUUUUGGAUGGUAUAGAAAAAGGUUUUUGGAUGCGGUUCGUAAAUCGCGUGGAGGCGGCCCACUUUCAACGACUUCAAAAUUUUUUUUACCGAAGUCAAAAAAAAUAGAUUUUAGUUAUAAUCCACUUCAUCGGUUCACUUUUCAAAAGUCACUUACAUGUUUACUUUUAUAAUCCAAACAAUCGAAAUAAUUUUACUUCGCCAAAAUAUCACUUUUAUUGUUUUACUUACAGGUAACCAAACAUGCCCUGAAGAGGAAAUGGGAAAAGUCGGUGAUGGUGGAAGGGUAUAUUUGAAAGGGUAAAAUAGUAAUUUUAUACAGAUAACAGAGUUGAUUAACAGAUUUUAACUCUGGGGUAUAUUUGAAAUAGGUUGAAACGUAAAGAAAGUAUUUUCAAUAUUAGUCUUCUAAGAUGAGUAAAUCAGAAAGUCGGAAACUUUUCAAGGGUAUAUAAGCAAUUGCCCUUUUUUUAUAUAUAUUUGUUUCACCAAAAGUAAAGGAGCUUAAAGUUGUU